Molecule: small nuclear RNA, 107 nt
Organism: Manis pentadactyla (Chinese pangolin)
Lineage: Eukaryota; Metazoa; Chordata; Mammalia; Pholidota; Manidae
Source: RefSeq, a predicted model, not a curated record
GUGCUCGCUUGGGCAGCACAUAUACUAAAACUGGAAUGAUACAGAGAAAAUUAGCAUGGCCCCUAUGCAAGGAUGACAUGCAAAUUCAUGAAGCGUUCCAUAAGAAA